AACGCGAAGAACCUUACCAGGGUUUGACAUCUUGAGAAUAUCUUGGAAACGAGAGAGUCCCUUCGGGAACGCAGUGACAGGUGGUGCAUGGUUGUCGUCAGCUGGUGUGGUGAGAUGUUGGAAUAAGUCCCGCAACGAGCGCAACCCUCGUCUUUAGUUGCCAGCAUUUAGUUGGGCAUUCUAGAGAGACUGCCGGUGAUAAACCGGAGGAAGGUGUGGAGGACGUCAAGUCAUCAUGCCCCUUACAUCUUGGGUUCCACCCGUAUUCCAAUGCUACGGCCAAAGGGCGGCAAAUUCGAGAGGGCAAGCAAAUCCCAUAAACCGGGGUUCAGUUCAGAUGGUAGGUUGCAAUUGGCCUCCGUGAAGGCGGAAUCGCUAGUAAUCGCAAGUCACCAUACUGCGGUGAAUACGUUCCCGGGCCUUGUACACACCG
This 433-nucleotide ribosomal RNA is filed under the name uncultured bacterium. Its description in RNAcentral is "bacterial SSU rRNA". It matches the Rfam family "Bacterial small subunit ribosomal RNA", at positions 958 to 1392 of the family's 1533-position model. The record is from RNAcentral.